UACGUAGGGUGCAAGCGUUAAUCGGAAUUACUGGGCGUAAAGCGUGCGCAGGCGGUUAUGUAAGACAGGUGUGAAAUCCCCGGGCUUAACCUGGGAACUGCAUUUGUGACUGCAUAGCUAGAGUACGGUAGAGGGGGAUGGGAAUUCCGCGUGUAGCAGUGAAAUGCGUAGAUAUGACGGAGGAACACCGAUGGCGAAGGCAAUCCCCUGGACCUGUACUGACGCUCAUGCACGAAAGCGUGGGAGCAAACAGG
This 254-nucleotide ribosomal RNA is filed under the name uncultured bacterium. RNAcentral describes it as "partial 16S ribosomal RNA". It matches the Rfam family "Bacterial small subunit ribosomal RNA", at positions 524 to 776 of the family's 1533-position model. The record is from RNAcentral.